CUAUAAGUGUAUAGAUGAACCCCUAUGACUAAUCUGAACAGACACUCACGAUAUCGACGAACCCUAGGUCGUCAUAUUCUUUUUCUUCGCACAAUCAACUAAAAUUUUCGAGCCAAAAACUAGCAAAUCAAUUCAAAUCAAACUAAUCCUUCUAAUUCAGCAUUAAAAUGAUGUUUCCAACUAGAUUCCCUAGUUCCCAAUCGAAUUCAAACUCAAAUCACGGAAUCAGGGCAAAAGAAUCCCUAAAUUUGCUUCUCAUGUUCGACGCCUUAGGGUUUAGAAGCUCAAUCCCAACCUACCCGAACUCAAACCAGUAAUACAAGCCCAGAUAGUGAAGGAAUUCAUAAAUUUUAGAAUCAAAAUCGAGCAAGAGAACAAGGAAUUUUGAAUUUCUCUUUGGAACAAACAAAGGAAGAACAAUGAGAUACAAUUCAUAAUUCAAACACGGAUGAACAGUAA
This 459-nucleotide long non-coding RNA is filed under the name Nicotiana benthamiana. Its description in RNAcentral is "long non-coding RNA (NBEN_LNC041193)". The record is from RNAcentral. Lineage: Eukaryota; Viridiplantae; Streptophyta; Magnoliopsida; Solanales; Solanaceae.